Molecule: non-coding RNA, 1318 nt
Organism: Drosophila melanogaster (fruit fly)
Lineage: Eukaryota; Metazoa; Arthropoda; Insecta; Diptera; Drosophilidae
Source: Ensembl
UGCGCCACAUAAAAGUAGAAAUAAUAAAACUUAAUCGUACGUACAUCAAAUUGAGCAUCAAAUGAAUUUGUACAGAAAAUCAAAUUUAAAUUGCGGGGGAAAUGCUUUAUGAAUGGGGGUUUUCCCCCUAGCCCUCUCAAACCCCCGUCAUUCCAUGUGCGUAAAGAGUUGAGUACACUCGCUUGUUGUCAUUCGAAAUUGGAAGUGUGAAUUGCUAAUGGAAAUUACUUUGGCCAAAUGACAGCUAACAAUGGCCGGGUAAUAACUGAAAGAUAUCUCUAAUCGAGCCACCACCUUUCGAUUAGCUGCACUCCAAUCAAGGCAGCUUAUCUGUUCGUGAUUGGCAUGAUUCCUGCCAGCGGGUGCCCACUGUAAUAAAUAGUGCCCGAAAUGGCACUCAAGUGUCGGCCACUUAAUAACGAAUUUCUGGCUGCCCGAACAAGUCGUAAAGAUGCAUCGCAGCUCGGAUUGUGGUCCCAUCGGAACUGCACUUUAAGAGAUGUUUGCAAAAAGAAAGUGAAAGAGCGCAAAGGUCAGCGGUGGGGGGAAAUUCAAUGUGAAAAGCGGCGAUGUCGUGCUGGGUUACAGCGUUUUCAGAAGGGCUUCCCAUCUGCAUUUUCCUCCUCCAUUCACUGACUAUUUAUUUGUUCUUAUUGUUUUUUUUUUUGCUGCUCUUCAUAACUGUUGCAUAUACAUAUAAAUGCGAACCAUUGCGUAUACUCAAUUAAUUGAGACAAAUUACCCAUACGCCGGGUGGGUGAAUGACUGUCGAGAGUUCAAUUCAGUUUGAAUUGAAGUGUUUUACUUUGGUUGUUAUUUUUUAUUGCAUUGUCUGGUUGCACCAACCGAAUAAAAAUGAAAAUUUCGCCAUAAUAACUUUAAUUUGCCCCAAUCGAUCCAAUGGCAAUUAUUAUUAGAUUUCGUUUCGUUUUGUUUGAUUCUGAUUCUGAUUUCUGCUCCCAUUCGGCAGCACCUUGAACCACAUUAUUCGCGAAAUUGCCCCCACGAUGAAUCUGCCGCUGGAGCAGGCAGUUCUCAAACUGUCGUGGCUUUCAAUCAAACAAUCAAAUUCGGCUCGCAGUAAGAUAUAUAAGACUAUCUGCUGUCUGAACUGGAGUCCCCGACUUGGGCACGCCAUCAUCAUCAUCAUCAUCAUCAUCCUCCCCCCGAAAUCGCCUAGGAGUUGGUUUCGGUCUUGACUCCGUUCAGGUUCUGUUCGGUAGGCAGGUAUAUACAAUAUAUACUCGUAUUUUUGUGCACGCCACUUUAUGUAAGCAUUAAAACUAGCGCCUGACGAGUACACAAGGUACACAGAAAG